This 493-nucleotide ribosomal RNA is filed under the name uncultured bacterium. RNAcentral's name for it is "partial 16S ribosomal RNA". It matches the Rfam family "Bacterial small subunit ribosomal RNA", at positions 30 to 523 of the family's 1533-position model. The record is from RNAcentral.
AUUGGACGCUGGCGGCAUGCUUUACACAUGCAAGUCGAACGGUAACAGGUUAAGCUGCCGAGUGGCGAACGGGUGAGUAAUGCAUCGGAACGUGCCCGGUCGUGGGGGAUAACGCAGCGAAAGCUGCGCUAAUACCGCAUACGAUCUGAGGAUGAAAGCGGGGGACCGUAAGGCCUCGCGCGAUCGGAGGGGCCGAUGUCAGAUUAGGUAGUUGGUGGGGUAAAGGCUCACCAAGCCAACGAUCUGUAGCUGGUCUGAGAGGACGACCAGCCACACUGGGACUGAGACACGGCCCAAACUCCUACGGGAGGCAGCAGUGGGGAAUUUUGGACAAUGGGCGAAAGCCUGAUCCAGCAAUGCCGCGUGCAGGAAGAAGGCCUUCGGGUUGUAAACUGCUUUUGUACGGAGCGAAAAGGUCUCCUCUAAUACAGGGGGCUCAUGACGGUACCGUAAGAAUAAGUACUUGCUAACUCCGUGCCAGCCGCCGCCGUAA